This is a long non-coding RNA of Ficedula albicollis (Collared flycatcher), 510 nucleotides long. RefSeq lists it as uncharacterized. The record is from RefSeq and is a predicted model, not a curated record. The transcript is spliced from 3 exons. NCBI's taxonomy places the organism in Eukaryota, Metazoa, Chordata, Aves, Passeriformes, Muscicapidae.
UCAAGCUGUGCCCAGGACACACGGGAGCUUGUGAGUCCAAAACAGGACAAGAAUAAACAGGACAAGAAUGGAAGUAAAACUGGGUGGUGGCAGCGGUGAUGGAGCCCCCACGGCGCGGUUCGGGGAUGCCGUGGCCGGUUUGGGAAGGAGAGGCACGGCUGAACAUCACGGUGUCCCCUCCAUCCCUGCGAGGGGACGAACGGAGCAGCAGAGACCUGACGGCAAAACGGGUGCUCCAGGAGAGGGUUCUGUGGGUGCUCGUGGCCCUGCCAGCCCAGGGCUCAGAGCAGGGGGGAGCCCAGCUCCAGCUCCAGUGUGGGGUCAGCUGGGCCAACACCUUCAGAGGGAAAUAUCCCUCGAGUGCUCAAGCACCAAAAUGGGGCUGAGGAUGGGUUGGCUCUCCAGACCCUUGUGCACCCCAAAACCCAGGAUGCCCAGACAUAUCAUCGUGUCCCAGAAGCUUCAUGAGCCCAAAACUCCAGCAUAAAGCAAAUACAUUCCUGGUUUUCG